Molecule: ribosomal RNA, 468 nt
Filed under: uncultured bacterium
Lineage: Bacteria
Description: partial 16S ribosomal RNA
Rfam family: Bacterial small subunit ribosomal RNA
Source: RNAcentral
GAUGAACGCUGGCGGCGUGCUUAACACAUGCAAGUCGAACGGUGAAGGCGGAGCUUGCUCUGCUGGAUCAGUGGCGAACGGGUGAGUAACACGUGAGCAAUCUGCCCCUGACUCUGGGAUAAGCGCUGGAAACGGCGUCUAAUACUGGAUACGAGCUGCGAAGGCAUCUUCAGCAGCUGGAAAGAAUUUCGGUCAGGGAUGAGCUCGCGGCCUAUCAGCUUGUUGGUGAGGUAGUGGCUCACCAAGGCGUCGACGGGUAGCCGGCCUGAGAGGGUGACCGGCCACACUGGGACUGAGACACGGCCCAGACUCCUACGGGAGGCAGCAGUGGGGAAUAUUGCACAAUGGGCGAAAGCCUGAUGCAGCAACGCCGCGUGAGGGACGACGGCCUUCGGGUUGUAAACCUCUUUUAGCAGGGAAGAAGCGAAAGUGACGGUACCUGCAGAAAAAGCGCCGGCUAACUACGUG